RNAcentral lists this non-coding RNA (30 nucleotides) under Mus musculus (house mouse). Lineage: Eukaryota; Metazoa; Chordata; Mammalia; Rodentia; Muridae. The record is from RNAcentral.
UAGAUAUUUUCCUGGAAAGGGAGGCUUUCU